This 301-nucleotide ribosomal RNA is filed under the name uncultured bacterium. Its description in RNAcentral is "partial 16S ribosomal RNA". It matches the Rfam family "Bacterial small subunit ribosomal RNA", at positions 509 to 807 of the family's 1533-position model. The record is from RNAcentral.
CAGUCGCCACGGUAAUACGUAGGGUGCAAGCGUUAAUCGGAAUUACUGGGCGUAAAGCGUGCGCAGGCGGUUAUAUAAGACAGAUGUGAAAUCCCCGGGCUCAACCUGGGAACUGCAUUUGUAACUGUAUAGCUAGAGUACGGCAGAGGGGGAUGGAAUUCCGCGUGUAGCAGUGAAAUGCGUAGAUAUGCGGAGGAACACCGAUGGCGAAGGCAAUCCCCUGGGCCUGUACUGACGCUCAUGCACGAAAGCGUGGGGAGCAAACAGGAUUAGAUACCCCGGUAGUCCCUGUCUCUUAUAC